CCUACGCGGGGCAGCAGUGGGGAAUAUUGCACAAUGGGCGCAAGCCUGAUGCAGCCAUGCCGCGUGUGUGAAGAAGGCCUUCGGGUUGUAAAGCACUUUCAGCGGGGAGGAAGGCGUUAAGGUUAAUAACCUUGGCGAUUGACGUUACCCGCAGAAGAAGCACCGGCUAACUCCGUGCCAGCAGCCGCGGUAAUACGGAGGGUGCAAGCGUUAAUCGGAAUUACUGGGCGUAAAGCGCACGCAGGCGGUCUGUCAAGUCGGAUGUGAAAUCCCCGGGCUCAACCUGGGAACUGCAUUCGAAACUGGCAGGCUAGAGUCUUGUAGAGGGGGGUAGAAUUCCAGGUGUAGCGGUGAAAUGCGUAGAGAUCUGGAGGAAUACCGGUGGCGAAGGCGGCCCCCUGGACAAAUACUGACGCUCAGGUGCGAAAGCGUGGGGAGCAAACAGGAUUAGAUACCCGAGUAGUC
This 465-nucleotide ribosomal RNA is filed under the name uncultured Klebsiella sp. Its description in RNAcentral is "bacterial SSU rRNA". It matches the Rfam family "Bacterial small subunit ribosomal RNA", at positions 338 to 795 of the family's 1533-position model. Lineage: Bacteria; Pseudomonadati; Pseudomonadota; Gammaproteobacteria; Enterobacterales; Enterobacteriaceae. The record is from RNAcentral.